Molecule: ribosomal RNA, 440 nt
Filed under: uncultured bacterium
Lineage: Bacteria
Description: partial 16S ribosomal RNA
Rfam family: Bacterial small subunit ribosomal RNA
Source: RNAcentral
CCUACGGGUGGCAGCAGUGGGGAAUAUUGCACAAUGGGCGAAACCCUGAUGCAGCGACGCCGCGUGAGGGAAGAAGUCUUUCGGUAUGUAAAGCUCUAUCAGCAGGGACGAAGAUGACGGUACCUGAGUAAGAAGCCCCGGCGAACUACGUGCCAGCAGCCGCGGUAAUACGUAGGGGGCAAGCGUUAUCCGGAUUUACUGGGUGUAAAGUGAGCGUAGACGGUGAGACAAGUCUGAGGUGAAAGCCCGGGGCUCAACCCCGGGACUGCUUUGGAAACUGGCUGACUGGAGUGCUGGAGAGGCUAGCGGAAUUCCUAGUGUAGCGGUGAAAUGCGUAGAUAUCAGGAAGAACACCAGUGGCGAAGGCGGCUUGCUGGACAGUAACUGACGUGGAGGAGCGAAAGCGUGGGGAGCAAACAGGAUUAGAUACCCCAGUAGUC